This 500-nucleotide ribosomal RNA is filed under the name uncultured bacterium. RNAcentral describes it as "partial 16S ribosomal RNA". It matches the Rfam family "Bacterial small subunit ribosomal RNA", at positions 30 to 523 of the family's 1533-position model. The record is from RNAcentral.
AUUGAACGCUGGCGGCAGGCUUAACACAUGCAAGUCGAGCGGGGGAAGGUAGCUUGCUACCGGACCUAGCGGCGGACGGGUGAGUAAUGCUUAGGAAUCUGCCUAUUAGUGGGGGACAACAUCUCGAAAGGGAUGCUAAUACCGCAUACGUCCUACGGGAGAAAGCAGGGGAUCUUCGGACCUUGCGCUAAUAGAUGAGCCUAAGUCGGAUUAGCUAGUUGGUGGGGUAAAGGCCUACCAAGGCGACGAUCUGUAGCGGGUCUGAGAGGAUGAUCCGCCACACUGGGACUGAGACACGGCCCAGACUCCUACGGGAGGCAGCAGUGGGGAAUAUUGGACAAUGGGGGGAACCCUGAUCCAGCCAUGCCGCGUGUGUGAAGAAGGCCUUAUGGUUGUAAAGCACUAUAAGCGAGGAGGAGGCUACUUUAGUUAAUACCUAGAGAUAGUGACGUUACUCGCAGAAUAAGCACCGGCUAACCCUGUGCCAGCAGCCGCCGUAA